GGUUCCAUGUACAACCUUUCCAUAGAGGGUUCUACCUGGAACCAAAAAGGGUUCUAUGAGGACAGCUGAAUAACUGUUUUGGAACCCAUUUUUCUAAGAGUGUAGGGUUAUGGCAUGGUCAGACAGGUGACUAAGCUCACCACAUUUAUACAAACCAUGGUCACCUAACCCUGAGACCUUCCAGUAGGCCAUGGAUACGCCUAUUGUCUGGGGAAGGUCCAGAUGUAAACAGAAGCUGACCCCCUCCUCCAUUACUACACUAAAAUCACUGGUUGGAAAUUCUUCUCCAGAGUGAGGGAGUCUGGUAGCGCCAUUGGCCCCCAGCCCCCAGCUAUAGCCAACACAGCAGGGCCUCACUAAGGUACACCAUUUACCCCUGAGACCAACCCUGCCACAGUGGCAUCUAGACCAGGGGUUAAACAAACAGCACAA
This is a non-coding RNA of Salmo salar (Atlantic salmon), 432 nucleotides long. The record is from RefSeq and is a predicted model, not a curated record. NCBI's taxonomy places the organism in Eukaryota, Metazoa, Chordata, Actinopteri, Salmoniformes, Salmonidae.